Molecule: long non-coding RNA, 392 nt
Organism: Populus trichocarpa (black cottonwood)
Lineage: Eukaryota; Viridiplantae; Streptophyta; Magnoliopsida; Malpighiales; Salicaceae
Exons: 2
Source: RefSeq, a predicted model, not a curated record
GACACAUCAAUGUUCUCGGCAAGGCAACUAAUAUACAGCCUCAUCUGCAAGAUUACAAAGUAUUAGCAUCUGCCAAGAAAAAAAAGAAGAAAAAGUUGUGUACCAUCAACAGAAGUGGGUGAAACUAUUCAAGUUUGAGAAAAGGCAACUGGGAGGUUGCAAAUGUCCAACCAACGGCACGCUACAUCUGCUCCAAUUAAACAAAUUCAUUAAAGAUGCUAGAGCGCUGUCUACACAUAAAACAAGGCCACCUAUUUGUAGAAGCUGAUUCAAAAACUAAACUCUCAAACUUUUCCAAUGUUAUGUUAUUUUUUCAAAAGAGAUGCAACACAUAUGUUAUGUUAUUUUCCAAUCAUUAAAAAACUAGCUGGAGACUCCCUUAUUAUGAGCCA